Molecule: ribosomal RNA, 567 nt
Filed under: uncultured bacterium
Lineage: Bacteria
Description: partial 16S ribosomal RNA
Rfam family: Bacterial small subunit ribosomal RNA
Source: RNAcentral
UGGGGAAUAUUGCACAAUGGGCGAAAGCCUGAUGCAGCGACGCCGCGUGAGGGAUGACGGCCUUCGGGUUGUAAACCUCUUUCAGCAGGGAAGAAGCGAAAGUGACGGUACCUGCAGAAGAAGCGCCGGCUAACUACGUGCCAGCAGCCGCGGUAAUACGUAGGGCGCAAGCGUUGUCCGGAAUUAUUGGGCGUAAAGAGCUCGUAGGCGGUUAGUCGCGUCUGCUGUGAAAACUCGAGGCUCAACCUCGGGCUUGCAGUGGGUACGGGCUGACUAGAGUGCGGUAGGGGUGACUGGAAUUCCUGGUGUAGCGGUGGAAUGCGCAGAUAUCAGGAGGAACACCGAUGGCGAAGGCAGGUCACUGGGCCGCAACUGACGCUGAGGAGCGAAAGCAUGGGGAGCGAACAGGAUUAGAUACCCUGGUAGUCCAUGCCGUAAACGUUGGGCACUAGGUGUGGGUCCAUUCCACGGAUUCCGUGCCGCAGCAAACGCAUUAAGUGCCCCGCCUGGGGAGUACGGCCGCAAGGCUAAAACUUAAAGGAAUUGACGGGGUCAUAGCUGUUUCCU